Molecule: unclassified non-coding RNA, 90 nt
Filed under: Pseudomonas arsenicoxydans
Lineage: Bacteria; Pseudomonadati; Pseudomonadota; Gammaproteobacteria; Pseudomonadales; Pseudomonadaceae
Source: RNAcentral
UGUGGGAGCGGGCUUGCCCGCGAUGGCGGUAUGCCAGUCACCAUAGUUAUUGACUGACAGUCCGCUAUCGCGGGCAAGCCCGCUCCCACA